GAAAUGCGAUAAGUAGUGUGAAUUGCAGAAUUCAGUGAAUCAUCGAAUCUUUGAACGCACAUUGCGCCCCUUGGUAUUCCAUGGGGCAUGCCUGUUCGAGCGUCAUUUGUACCCUCAAGCUCUGCUUGGUGUUGGGUGUUUGUCCCCGUCUCCGCGCGUGGACUCGCCCCAAAGUGAUUGGCAGCCGGCGUACUGGUCCCGGAGCGCAGCACAUGUCGCGCAAACGAGUGCCUUGGUACGGCGGCGUCCAUACGCCCCUCUCUCACGCUCUUGACCUCGGAUCAGGUAGGGAUACCCGCUGAACUUAAGC
Molecule: unclassified non-coding RNA, 310 nt
Filed under: plant metagenome
Description: partial contains 5.8S ribosomal RNA, internal transcribed spacer 2, and large subunit ribosomal RNA
Rfam family: 5.8S ribosomal RNA (bases 1-105)
Source: RNAcentral